This 254-nucleotide ribosomal RNA is filed under the name uncultured bacterium. Its description in RNAcentral is "partial 16S ribosomal RNA". It matches the Rfam family "Bacterial small subunit ribosomal RNA", at positions 524 to 776 of the family's 1533-position model. The record is from RNAcentral.
UACGGAGGGAGCUAGCGUUAUUCGGAAUUACUGGGCGUAAAGCGCACGUAGGCGGCUUUGUAAGUAAGAGGUGAAAGCCCAGAGCUCAACUCUGGAAUUGCCUUUUAGACUGCAUCGCUUGAAUCAUGGAGAGGUCAGUGGAAUUCCGAGUGUAGAGGUGAAAUUCGUAGAUAUUCGGAAGAACACCAGUGGCGAAGGCGGCUGACUGGACAUGUAUUGACGCUGAGGUGCGAAAGGCGUGGGGAGCGAACGGG